RNAcentral lists this ribosomal RNA (380 nucleotides) under uncultured eukaryote. RNAcentral describes it as "partial 18S ribosomal RNA". It matches the Rfam family "Eukaryotic small subunit ribosomal RNA", at positions 592 to 976 of the family's 1831-position model. The record is from RNAcentral.
CAAUAGCGUAUAUUAAAGUUGUUGCAGUUAGAACGCUCGUAGUCGGAUUUCGGGGCGGGCCGACCGGUCUGCCGAUGGGUAUGCACUGGUCGGCGCGUCCUUCCUUCCGGAGACCGUCCCUACUCUUAACUGAGCGGGGGCGGGAGACGGGACUUUUACUUUGAAAAAAUCAGAGUGUUUCAAGCAGGCAGCUCGCUCUUGCAUGGAUUAGCAUGGGAUAAUGAAAUAGGACUUUGGUGCUAUUUUGUUGGUUUCGAACACCGAAGUAAUGAUGAGAAGGGACAGUCAGGGGCAUUCGUAUUCCGCCGAGAGAGGUGAAAUUCUCAGACCAGCGGAAGACGAACCACUGCGAAAGCAUUUGCCAGGGAUGUUUUCACUGA